RNAcentral lists this ribosomal RNA (1372 nucleotides) under uncultured bacterium. RNAcentral's name for it is "bacterial SSU rRNA". It matches the Rfam family "Bacterial small subunit ribosomal RNA", at positions 28 to 1381 of the family's 1533-position model. The record is from RNAcentral.
GAUAAGCGCUGGCGGCGUGCCUAAUACAUGCAAGUCGAGCGAACGGACGAGAAGCUUGCUUCUCUGAUGUUAGCGGCGGACGGGUGAGUAACACGUGGAUAACCUACCUAUAAGACUGGGAUAACUUCGGGAAACCGGAGCUAAUACCGGAUAAUAUUUUGAACCGCAUGGUUCAAAAGUGAAAGACGGUCUUACUGUCACUUAUAGAUGGAUCCGCGCUGCAUUAGCUAGUUGGUAAGGUAACGGCUUACCAAGGCAACGAUGCAUAGCCGACCUGAGAGGGUGAUCGGCCACACUGGAACUGAGACACGGUCCAGACUCCUACGGGAGGCAGCAGUAGGGAAUCUUCCGCAAUGGGCGAAAGCCUGACGGAGCAACGCCGCGUGAGUGAUGAAGGUCUUCGGAUCGUAAAACUCUGUUAUUAGGGAAGAACAUAUGUGUAAGUAACUGUGCACAUCUUGACGGUACCUAAUCAGAAAGCCACGGCUAACUACGUGCCAGCAGCCGCGGUAAUACGUAGGUGGCAAGCGUUAUCCGGAAUUAUUGGGCGUAAAGCGCGCGUAGGCGGUUUUUUAAGUCUGAUGUGAAAGCCCACGGCUCAACCGUGGAGGGUCAUUGGAAACUGGAAAACUUGAGUGCAGAAGAGGAAAGUGGAAUUCCAUGUGUAGCGGUGAAAUGCGCAGAGAUAUGGAGGAACACCAGUGGCGAAGGCGACUUUCUGGUCUGUAACUGACGCUGAUGUGCGAAAGCGUGGGGAUCAAACAGGAUUAGAUACCCUGGUAGUCCACGCCGUAAACGAUGAGUGCUAAGUGUUAGGGGGUUUCCGCCCCUUAGUGCUGCAGCUAACGCAUUAAGCACUCCGCCUGGGGAGUACGACCGCAAGGUUGAAACUCAAAGGAAUUGACGGGGACCCGCACAAGCGGUGGAGCAUGUGGUUUAAUUCGAAGCAACGCGAAGAACCUUACCAAAUCUUGACAUCCUUUGACAACUCUAGAGAUAGAGCCUUCCCCUUCGGGGGACAAAGUGACAGGUGGUGCAUGGUUGUCGUCAGCUCGUGUCGUGAGAUGUUGGGUUAAGUCCCGCAACGAGCGCAACCCUUAAGCUUAGUUGCCAUCAUUAAGUUGGGCACUCUAAGUUGACUGCCGGUGACAAACCGGAGGAAGGUGGGGAUGACGUCAAAUCAUCAUGCCCCUUAUGAUUUGGGCUACACACGUGCUACAAUGGACAAUACAAAGGGCAGCGAAACCGCGAGGUCAAGCAAAUCCCAUAAAGUUGUUCUCAGUUCGGAUUGUAGUCUGCAACUCGACUACAUGAAGCUGGAAUCGCUAGUAAUCGUAGAUCAGCAUGCUACGGUGAAUACGUUCCCGGGUCU